UGGGGAAUAUUGCGCAAUGGGGGGAACCCUGACGCAGCCAUGCGCGUGAAUGAAGAAGGCCUUCGAGUUGUAAAGUUCUUUCGGUAUUGAGGAAGGUUGAUGUGUUAAUAGCACAUCAAAUUGACGUUAAAUACAGAAGAAGCACCGGCUAACUCCGUGCCAGCAGCCGCGGUAAUACGGAGGGUGCGAGCGUUAAUCGGAAUAACUGGGCGUAAAGGNNAAGCAGGCGGUUAUUUAAGUGAGGUGUGAAAGCCCCGGGCUUAACCUGGGAAUUGCAUUUCAGACUGGGUAACUAGAGUACUUUAGGGAGGGGUAGAAUUCCACGUGUAGCGGUGAAAUGCGUAGAGAUGUGGAGGAAUACCGAAGGCGAAGNNNGCCCCUUGGGAAUGUACUGACGCUCAUGUGCGAAAGCGNGGGGGAGCAAACAGGAUUAGAUACCCUGGUAGUCCACGCUGUAAACGCUGUCGAUUUGGGGGUUGGGGUUUAACUCUGGCGCCCGUAGCUAACGUGAUAAAUCGACCGCCUGGGAGUACGGCCGCAANNU
RNAcentral lists this ribosomal RNA (544 nucleotides) under uncultured bacterium. RNAcentral describes it as "bacterial SSU rRNA". It matches the Rfam family "Bacterial small subunit ribosomal RNA", at positions 355 to 894 of the family's 1533-position model. The record is from RNAcentral.